GCCCACCACUCCAGCAGCAUAACAUAAGGACUAAGGGUUUAGAGUGAAAACUUAAAAACCCUACUCUCUUUUCCUUUUACAGUUUUGUUCCACUUCCAAGUUCCAAGUUCCAAGUUCCACCGAAGAAGUAGAAGCUUCAAGCCUUCAAGAUCACGUUGGUUUCUCAGUUCUCACAAAGUCACAGUAACAAUGAAGGCUCAAGAACAACCUCAACUCCUCAAGUACAAGAUUGUAAAUUUUGAGAAGAUGAAAAGGACAGUUACAAAGGUUCAAGAUUUGGAGGUUGAACAUUUGGAUCUUCCUAAAUAUAGUUCAGUAACACCAACAUCUGUUGUAACUCAAGCAUAUGGUUGUUGCUAGUUGUUGGAUGUUACAGGUUCCAAGUAUGGUUGUGUUGGACCCAUUUUGCUUGUGAAGAGGAUGUAUUAGGGUGUGUAUGAGGCUGGUAUUGGUUUUUAAAAGGGAAAAUGUUUUCUAAAAUUUAUGAUUCUGUUGGACUGGUAUGUUGGUUUGCCGAUGAUGUUCCUUUGAGAUUUCCAAGACCACUAUCUGAACGAAAAUUCAGACUGAAAUAGCUUCAGCAAUAAAGAAAUGCAUUCUAGUUUACUUUAUUUCUAAAAAUUAGAUAAUCGUAGGUGUUUACUAUUGUCCAGUCAUGUUAUCUAUUAUUAAAAUUAGCUCAAACUUUGCUUGACAUACUCUGGGUGCAACAAAAUCUAAACUUACUAGGCAUUUACUUAUGUUUCACUGUGUCGACAAUACUAGGCAUUUACUUCUGUUUAGUCAUAUUAUUUAUCAUUAGGCUGAUUUCAAGGAAAUCUAAAUAUCGCUUUUCUUGUUAUUGUAUCCCCGUGCAUGACAGUGUGGAUGUGUAUUGAGUUGCACUA
Molecule: long non-coding RNA, 887 nt
Organism: Solanum dulcamara
Lineage: Eukaryota; Viridiplantae; Streptophyta; Magnoliopsida; Solanales; Solanaceae
Exons: 3
Source: RefSeq, a predicted model, not a curated record